RNAcentral lists this ribosomal RNA (433 nucleotides) under uncultured bacterium. RNAcentral describes it as "partial 16S ribosomal RNA". It matches the Rfam family "Bacterial small subunit ribosomal RNA", at positions 29 to 507 of the family's 1533-position model. The record is from RNAcentral.
AACGAACGCUGGCGGCAUGCCUAACACAUGCAAGUCGAACGAGACCUUCGGGUCUAGUGGCGCACGGGUGCGUAACGCGUGGGAACCUGCCCUUAGGUUCGGAAUAACUCCCCGAAAGGGGUGCUAAUACCGGAUAAUGUCUUCGGACCAAAGAUUUAUCGCCUUUGGAUGGGCCCGCGUUGGAUUAGCUAGUUGGUAGGGUAAAAGCCUACCAAGGCGACGAUCCAUAGCUGGUCUGAGAGGAUGAUCAGCCACACUGGGACUGAGACACGGCCCAGACUCCUACGGGAGGCAGCAGUAGGGAAUAUUGGACAAUGGGCGAAAGCCUGAUCCAGCAAUGCCGCGUGAGUGAUGAAGGCCUUAGGGUUGUAAAGCUCUUUUACCCGGGAUGAGAAUGACAGUACCGGGAGAAUAAGCUCCGGCUAACUCCGUG